UUUCUUUCUUUCUUUCUUUUUUUUUUUUUUUUUGUGGUACGCGGGCCUCUCACUGUUGUGGCCUCUCCCGUUGUGGAGCACAGGCUCCGGACGCGCAGGCUCAGCGGCCAUGGCUCACGGGCCCAGCCGCUCCGCGGCAUGUGGGAUCUUCCCGGACUGGGGCUCGAACCCGUGAGGGUGGGCACUUUCUAAGUGUCAGCCUCUGUUCAAGGCUCUACCUGUGUUAACACCUUUAGUUCCCACCGUGUGUCAUUGAGGGAAAAAUAGUUGUUAUUCCCAUUUUACAGGUGAGACAAUCAGAGAGAUUAAGUAACUUGUUCAAGGGUCAGUCAGUGAGCAGAAGAGGGGGAUUCAAACUCCAGAGCCCAGCCUCUUAACUGCUGUCCUCUGCUGCUUCUCCAUUUUCAGAUAUGAUGUUUAUUAUUUUUGCAAUGAUCAUAGCUCCUAUAUUAUUUCCCAUUUCAUAGAUGAAGAAACCAGGGUUCAAAGAGCAUUCACAGCUGCCCCAGGUCACACAGCCAAGCGAGUGGCAGAGCUGGGACUUGGACUCACGUCCGUCAGACUCUGCAGCCUGAACCCUGCCUCCCAGGAAGGGGAAGGAGUGAGAAAAGAAAAGUACAGCUGGAAACAUCUGACCCGUUGCGUCUGCUGGGAGGAAGGAGGCUGCGGGCUGCAGGACAGCGAACAGCAGCGGCAGGGGAAGCUUCAGGCUAUGGUCGUCCAUCUCCUGCUCAGACUGCCUUACUCGAAGGGGAACAGACAGACACACAGGACAGGGUAAGUCAGAGUAGGCCUCACUGCACCAAUGUGUCUCCCCCUGACCAGGUCCCCCCGACCCCCGACGGAAAUCUUGCUAUUGGAUGGUCUCAUUUUUUGAAGGUGAAAUUGCAUCUCGAAAUCUCUUCUUUACCAAGGCAGAUAAUUGUGGGAGGUGUGACUACUUCCCAUCUCAAAGAGAAAAAGUUCUUACCGUGACCCACAAGGCCCUGUGUGAAAUGCAGCCCCCACUCCCUGGGUGGGCUGCACAAUCUUUGGGGCCCAGUACAAGAUGACACACUGGCCCCUGCAUUAUUG
RNAcentral lists this long non-coding RNA (1074 nucleotides) under Monodon monoceros (narwhal). RNAcentral's name for it is "lncRNA (ENSMMNG00015005062.1)". The record is from RNAcentral. Lineage: Eukaryota; Metazoa; Chordata; Mammalia; Artiodactyla; Monodontidae.